Molecule: long non-coding RNA, 912 nt
Organism: Alexandromys fortis (reed vole)
Lineage: Eukaryota; Metazoa; Chordata; Mammalia; Rodentia; Cricetidae
Exons: 3
Source: RefSeq, a predicted model, not a curated record
AAUAGAGGAAUUAAAAAAGUAAAUAAUAGUGAACAAGUAAAGCUGUGGACAGUGGCUGUUCAACUCAAAGGAAAAAUAGAGACUGGCAUCUGCGAGUGAAAUCUGGGGAGUGUUUCCUGAGGUUGUACCUCAUGCUGGAAGCCUAACUUGGUAAUGUUAGAGUCACCCAGCUGGUACUGGUUUUGAAGGCAUGAAGGGGUCAUGGAAAGCAGCUGAGACCUGGCACUGUGGGAGGCCAGGAGAGGCCCAGUUGCAGCAGAAGACCCCAGCAUCUUGGAGAUGCCAGGACCAUGGGACGACCACCAAGAACAGCAGCAGCAGUGGAGUGGAGCCAGCCAGAGCCUAGAGGACAAGACAAGCCAUGCGUGCUGCAGAGGGCAGAACUGGCGAAGGGACCGAAACCCCUGGGGAGCCCAGAAGAGGAGAGUGAUCUCCAUUGCGAAGGAGCCUGGGAAACCCCCAAGCUGGGUUAUCUCAGUUGAGGGUGAUCUGUAAUGAACAUGUUCUACUUUGAAUAAGCCUCAUGCAACAUUCCAGGAGCUCUGCACAUCCAUCACGUCUGUCACCAGGGCACUGCACCCCUCAUUCUUCAGUGGUUGGUAAUAGGAAAGACUGAGAUGACACCAGUAGAGGCCAAUGGGCCCAGGAGGAGAGAGCCAGGUUCCAGAGUUCACGGUGACCUGCUGUAGACGGGUGAGCUUAUGUUGUCAAGCUCCAGUUAAACUGGAUGUAGGAACAGACUCAUCAUUUGGUGGCCUUUGGUCCUGUGUGACCUGGGUCCAGAUUAGCUCAGGGUUACCCAGGAGCCCAUCAGUGUGGUUUUCUCAUGCAGUUUUAUCACCUCCCUUUUAUUUAUUUUUUAAUAGUGUUUCUACUCAUUCAAAUGCUUCAAUAUUUUUCCGUGGUUCCUUC